GACGAACGCUGGCGGCGUGCUUAACACAUGCAAGUCGAACGGAAAGGCCCUGCUUUUGUGGGGUGCUCGAGUGGCGAACGGGUGAGUAACACGUGAGUAACCUGCCCUUGACUUUGGGAUAACUUCAGGAAACUGGGGCUAAUACCGGAUAGGAGCUCCUGCCGCAUGGUGGGGGUUGGAAAGUUUCGGCGGUUGGGGAUGGACUCGCGGCUUAUCAGCUUGUUGGCGGGGUAGUGGCUUACCAAGGCUUUGACGGGUAGCCGGCCUGAGAGGGUGACCGGCCACAUUGGGACUGAGAUACGGCCCAGACUCCUACGGGAGGCAGCAGUGGGGAAUAUUGCACAAUGGGCGGAAGCCUGAUGCAGCAACGCCGCGUGCGGGAUGACGGCCUUCGGGUUGUAAACCGCUUUCGCCUGUGACGAAGCGUGAGUGACGGUGAUGGGUAAAGAAGCACCGGCUAACUACGUGCCAGCAGCCGCGGUGAUACGUAGGGUGCGAGCGUUGUCCGGAUUUAUUGGGCGUAAAGGGCUCGUAGGUGGUUGAUCGCGUCGGAAGUGUAAUCUUGGGGCUUAACCCUGAGCGUGCUUUCGAUACGGGUUGACUUGAGGAAGGUAGGGGAGAAUGGAAUUCCUGGUGGAGCGGUGGAAUGCGCAGAUAUCAGGAGGAACACCAGUGGCGAAGGCGGUUCUCUGGGCCUUUCCUGACGCUGAGGAGCGAAAGCGUGGGGAGCGAACAGGCUUAGAUACCCUGGUAGUCCACGCUGUAAACGGUGGGUACUAGGUGUGGGGUCCAUUCCACGGGUUCCGUGCCGUAGCUAACGCUUUAAGUACCCCGCCUGGGGAGUACGGCCGCAAGGCUAAAACUCAAAGGAAUUGACGGGGCCCCGCACAAGCGGCGGAGCAUGCGGAUUAAUUCGAUGCAACGCGUAGAACCUUACCUGGGUUUGACAUGGAUCGGGAGUGCUCAGAGAUGGGUGUGCCUCUUUUGGGGUCGGUUCACAGGUGGUGCAUGGCUGUCGUCAGCUCGUGUCGUGAGAUGUUGGGUUAAGUCCCGCAACGAGCGCAACCCUUGUUCACUGUUGCCAGCACGUUAUGGUGGGGACUCAGUGGAGACCGCCGGGGUCAACUCGGAGGAAGGUGGGGAUGACGUCAAGUCAUCAUGCCCCUUAUGUCCAGGGCUUCACGCAUGCUACAAUGGCUGGUACAGAGAGUGGCGAGCCUGUGAGGGUGAGCGAAUCUCGGAAAGCCGGUCUCAGUUCGGAUUGGGGUCUGCAACUCGACCUCAUGAAGUCGGAGUCGCUAGUAAUCGCAGAUCUGCAACGCUGCGGUGAAUACGUUCCCGGGGCU
Molecule: ribosomal RNA, 1346 nt
Filed under: uncultured bacterium
Lineage: Bacteria
Description: bacterial SSU rRNA
Rfam family: Bacterial small subunit ribosomal RNA
Source: RNAcentral